Molecule: ribosomal RNA, 456 nt
Filed under: Otala lactea
Lineage: Eukaryota; Metazoa; Mollusca; Gastropoda; Stylommatophora; Helicidae
Description: partial large subunit ribosomal RNA
Rfam family: Archaeal large subunit ribosomal RNA
Source: RNAcentral
UCGGCCGCCCUUUUAUCAAAAACAUAACUAUAUGUUAUAAUAUAUAGCUUUUCUGCUCAAUGGUAAACUAAAUAGCCGCAGUACUCUGACUGUGCAAAGGUAGCAUAAUCAAUUGGCUUUUAAUUAAAGUCUGGGAUGAAUGAAAGCAUGGGUAACGGCUGUCUUACUGUUAAAUUAUAUUGAAGUUAGUAAGUAAGUGAAAAUACUUGCAAUUUAAAAAAGACGAGAAGACCCUAGAAACUUGUGUAAUUAUUUUGUUGGGGCGACAGAAUUACAAACAACUAAUUUUAUUAUACGUGACGUUAACAGAUAGAUUAAGUUACUCUAGGGAUAACAGCAUAAUUUUUAUAGUUUGUGACCUCGAUGUUGGACUAGGUAAAUAAUUUUUUAGAAGGAAAUUUAAAUGCUCUGUUCGAGCAGUAGAACCUACAUGAUCUGAGUUCAAACGGGGAGCUC